AGGCAUUCCCAUUAACAUAAGGGAAAAACACAUUUCCCCUUUAUUUUAAUGUACUACGAAAUAUAUGUAUGAUAAGUUUAAUAUUAGACACUUUUUUGCAACCCCAUAGUUAGAUAUAGACUAAAGUUUACGUAUAACUCGUUAUUAGCUUAAAAUCUGCUGAAAUGAUCGACAGGCUUCAACAAAAACACAUUUUACUGGCCUGUUUGGGGAUCCUUGAUAUGAAAAUCUUAAAAUUACACUGCUGGUCCCCAGGUAUUUGUUUAAUAUUUUCAUCAUUCAACCUUUUUUUUCAGCAUUAAACCUUGUUAUCACUCCUCUGAGAUCAAGAGGACACACGAUAACUUGAAAUCAGUUAGUCCUACAGCAAGGUUACAUGCGUAAAAACACCAUUGAUUGAUUUCAAUAUUCUUACUUUUUUAUUUUUAUAUUUUUUUAUGUUUUUACUUAAAGACAGGGUAACUGCACUUUCUUAAAAGUGCUUUUUAAAUUUAAUUGCCAAAUACACAACUGUUUUAGUCCAUAGCAACAGCGCAUUUGUGCACAAUAUGAUAACCUUUGAUUUGUAUGCUGGCUUGGUGUGGUGUAGUUUCCAGACACCCCAUAAUUGCCAACAAAACAAAACAUGUGACUUCUAAAAAAUAAUAACAAAGCCUCCCUGUCCGAUUUGAAUCGAGCAAGGAUGCGUGUUAAGUAUUUCCACGUUUUGGUGUUCGCCUGUCGUGACGCUGCGGUCGACCCUGAGCUGGGUCCAUAUCCCUUUAAAAGAAGUCAGUGAUGCAAACAAACUGUUUUGUGCGCGCUGCUUUGGAUCCAGAGUCGCGCCAAAGACAAAACUUGGAGCAACUUUGCUGACCAGCGUUAAGUUUGCAUUUCUCCUCCCAGGACGCCACCGGGCAGCAAGAAGGGCUCAGACGGCUGUCUGCUGGCGUUUGAGCCGGGGCUGCGAGGAAAUAAAGAGUGGAUCCGAGGAGGAGCAGAGGAGCAGCAGGACUGAGAUUGUCUUAUACGUCACCAGCGCUCAGUACUAUGGAGUACUACAAAAGGUGACGCGCAGAAGGAGGAUUUGUGAAUGGACGCCGUGAUGUGUGCCAGCUCACAGAUCAGAGGGCUGUGGGACCUCGGCAGUUGCACCCCCAGGCCUAGCAACCCCCCCUCCCGGUCACCAUCUCUGCCUCCAGAUGAAUGGGGGUCUCUAAGAUAUCAGCUCUGUCACCAUUGCAGGGGUCGAACCAAAUCCUCCAGCUUCCUGUCCCUUUCAAAACCUGAAAGCACGUCUCUCCUAUUUGAUGAUCCUGUAUGAUUUUUUUGUUGCGCUUUUGUGGGUCUGGAAGCCGACUGCCCCCUGUUUUUCAUCCCGGGUCAGCCAAGAGCAUGGCAGCCGAAUUAGAAAAGAUUAGAAGAGGACGUAAUUGCAUGUAGUGGACAAUGCAAAAAGUCAAUUAGUUUAAAGAUGCAGUUGACCUAAAAUGUUUUUUGGUUUUUUUGGGGGGAAAAUUAGGGGAGAUUGUGGCUACCCCUGUACGCCAUUGUUUCCUCAAGUGUUUUGCUGAAACAAAGCGAUGAUCAGGGCAGAUCUGAGGAAAAAGAAAAGUUUUAGCAAAUUUAGUUAUUGACAAUUUUCAUUUUAGACUAAGAUAAGAAAUCUUUUUAAUGUUACUUCGGAGCUUUGUCUACUUUUACUACAUUUUACUGGCCAGUUGCUGCUUGGAGAUUGUUCAUUCAAAAGACCUAAAACGAAACAAAACUUUGGGCUGGCUUUGCAAGUAAAUCAUACCGAUUAAUGUUUCCCCUGACAAAAAAAUGCAUGCUAUAAUUUCUCUUCACUGUUUAUUCGUCGAAUAUCCCACUGCAGAUAGAUGAUGUCUAAAUAAUUUCUUUUCCCUUU
Molecule: long non-coding RNA, 1888 nt
Organism: Melanotaenia boesemani (Boeseman's rainbowfish)
Lineage: Eukaryota; Metazoa; Chordata; Actinopteri; Atheriniformes; Melanotaeniidae
Exons: 2
Source: RefSeq, a predicted model, not a curated record